This is a long non-coding RNA of Poecilia reticulata (guppy), 266 nucleotides long. RefSeq lists it as uncharacterized. NCBI's taxonomy places the organism in Eukaryota, Metazoa, Chordata, Actinopteri, Cyprinodontiformes, Poeciliidae. The record is from RefSeq and is a predicted model, not a curated record.
UGUAUUGUAAUCUCUAUUACAUGUGAUGUUCUGAACUCUUAAAAAUACUCGCAUCUUCUUUGAAUUUUUUCAGACCUGAAAAAUGGCCAAGCAGAACCAGCCAGACCUCAGACCACGGUGCCGAGGAGCUCUGAGUCCACCAGGACCAAGAGAGAUUCAUACAGCAAGGCAGAGUGUGGAAAGCAGUAAAGAUCUACAAAAUGGCGGACGGAGGAGGAAGUCAUGAAGCCCACUCCACAGAAUGAGAGUCACAUUUGUGUCCAUCA